Rosa rugosa (rugosa rose) is the source of this 812-nucleotide long non-coding RNA. RefSeq lists it as uncharacterized. The record is from RefSeq and is a predicted model, not a curated record. The transcript has 3 exons. NCBI's taxonomy places the organism in Eukaryota, Viridiplantae, Streptophyta, Magnoliopsida, Rosales, Rosaceae.
AACCCGUUUUGAAGCCUUCUUUUUCUCCUCACACAUGGCACAUAGAGUCAUAGACUUCCAUAAAACCCCAAUUUAGUGUUUCAUCCAAAGUUCUAAACUCUUAUGUGUUUAUCUCUUAAUUAUGAGUAAGUUUGGGAUUGAUUUUGAAACUGCUUUUGGGAUUCGGCUUUUGGGCUUAAGGGAUGGUGUUUGGUAAAGUUCUCUAGAAGUUGCUUUUGGGCCAAAUAGCUUCUCGGGGAAGUUGAUACUGAGAAGCAACAAAUCGUAGCUUUUGGAGCUGCUUCUCUGAAAAACACGGAGCAACAGUGCAAGAUUAAUGAAUUAUUCCCCCUUCCUUUUCUGAAAAGUACAUCGAGCAUAUGGGGUUUGAUUGAUAGAAUUGUCGUCAAAAACAGAUCGCAUAUCUCCUUCUUCCCUCUCCAUGAUCAUUGAAUCAAUCUCCUCAUCAUAAAGAAAAUCCUUUAGAGACGGGUAAGUGGUAAACCCUCUUUCUCAGACUAUCCAUCUCGCUCUUCUCAAGGUUUUCUCUCUCUGUGUCUCCGACUUCUUCAAAGCACAUAGAGACGGAUCAAUCCAGAGUAUCGCAAGUUUCGCGACGUCAGAGUUCCUGACAUGAUGGUUGUUUAUGAUAACUUGUUCAAGGGUAGCAUAGCUCUAGGUCACAAUGUCAUGUUAAGAAAUACAAUCGUACACAUUUUAAUGAAUGCAUCUACUUAGCAUUUAGUUGCAAAAUUCAAGUAACUUUAAUAUAUUUUGUGUAAUAAUUCCCGUUGAACUAUGGUCAGGAAAUUAAUCCAAAUAUUCUUGACUUA